This 76-nucleotide transfer RNA is filed under the name Actinomycetota bacterium. Its description in RNAcentral is "Actinobacteria bacterium (hydrothermal vent metagenome) tRNA-Arg". It matches the Rfam family "tRNA". Rfam says of the family: Transfer RNA (tRNA) molecules are approximately 80 nucleotides in length. Their secondary structure includes four short double-helical elements and three loops (D, anti-codon, and T loops). Lineage: Bacteria; Bacillati; Actinomycetota. The record is from RNAcentral.
GCCCCCGUAGCUCAGUGGACAGAGCAGGAGCCUUCUAAGCUCUUGGUCGAGGGUUCGAAUCCUUCCGGGGGCACCC